This 468-nucleotide ribosomal RNA is filed under the name uncultured bacterium. Its description in RNAcentral is "partial 16S ribosomal RNA". It matches the Rfam family "Bacterial small subunit ribosomal RNA", at positions 28 to 507 of the family's 1533-position model. The record is from RNAcentral.
GACGAACGCUGGCGGCGUGCUUAACACAUGCAAGUCGAACGGUGACGCACCAGCUUGCUGGAGUGGCUCAGUGGCGAACGGGUGAGUAACACGUGAGCAACCUGCCCCUGACUCUGGUAUAAGCGCUGGAAACGGCGCCUAAUACUGGAUACGAGACGGGUCAGCAUGGGCACUUUCUGGACAGUGUUUCGGUUGGGGAUGGGCUCGCGGCUUAUCAGCUUGUUGGUGGGGUAAUGGCUCACCGAGGCGGCGGCGGGUAGCCGGCCUGAGAGCGCGACCGGCCACACUGGGACUGAGACACGGCCCAGACGCCUACGGGAGGCAGCAGUGGGGAAUAUUGCACAAUGGGCGAAAGCCUGAUGCAGCGACGCCGCGUGAGGGAUGACGGCCUUCGGGUUGUAAACCUCUUUCAGCAGGGAAGAAGCGAAAGUGACGGUACCUGCAGAAGAAGCACCGGCUAACUACGUG